RNAcentral lists this non-coding RNA (61 nucleotides) under unclassified sequences. RNAcentral describes it as "RAGATH-18 RNA". It matches the Rfam family "RAGATH-18 RNA". From Rfam's summary of the family: Actinobacteria, Firmicutes, Fusobacteria, Thermotogae (1 example). The record is from Rfam by way of RNAcentral.
CCUUUGGAGAGCUAAAAUCACUAAAGUAGCUUAAGCGAAAUAGAGUUCAAUGAAGAAGGAA